AACGAACGCUGGCGGCAUGCCUAACACAUGCAAGUCGAGCGCCCUUUCGGGGCAUCGGCGGACGGGUGAGUACCGCGUGGGAAUAUGCCCUUCUCUACGCAAUACCCUCGUGAAACUGAGAGUAAUACCGUUUACGCCCUGUGGGGGAAAGAUUUAUCGGGGAAGGAUUAGCCCGCGUGGGAUUAGGUAGUUGGUGGGGUAAUGGCCUACCAAGCCGACGAUCCAUAGCUGGUUGGAGAGGAUGAUCAGCGACACUGGGACUGAGACACGUCCCAGACUCCGACGGGAGGCAGCAGUGGGGAAUCUUAGACAAUGGGGGCAACCAUGAUCGAGCCAGGCCGGGUGAGUGAUGAAGGCCUUAGGGUUGUAAAGCGCUUUCAGCUGGGAAGAUAAUGACGGUACCAGGAGAAGAAGCACCGGCUAACUCCGUG
Molecule: ribosomal RNA, 431 nt
Filed under: uncultured bacterium
Lineage: Bacteria
Description: partial 16S ribosomal RNA
Rfam family: Bacterial small subunit ribosomal RNA
Source: RNAcentral